Molecule: ribosomal RNA, 253 nt
Filed under: uncultured bacterium
Lineage: Bacteria
Description: partial 16S ribosomal RNA
Rfam family: Bacterial small subunit ribosomal RNA
Source: RNAcentral
UACAGAGGUCCCAAGCGUUGUUCGGAUUCAUUGGGCGUAAAGGGUGCGUAGGUGGCGCCGUAAGUCGGGUGUGAAAUUUCGGAGCUUAACUCCGAAACUGCAUUUGAUACUGCGGUGCUUGAGGACUGGAGAGGAGACUGGAAUUCACGGUGUAGCAGUGAGAUGCGUAGAUAUCGUGAGGAAGACCAGUGGCGAAGGCGGGUCUCUGGACAGUUCCUGACACUGAGGCACGAAGGCCAGGGGAGCAAACGGG